Onychomys torridus (southern grasshopper mouse) is the source of this 492-nucleotide non-coding RNA. The record is from the annotation of a RefSeq genome assembly. NCBI's taxonomy places the organism in Eukaryota, Metazoa, Chordata, Mammalia, Rodentia, Cricetidae.
GUGAUCAUCACUGAACACAGAAUGUUCAGCAUGGAGUUGAGACAGAGCUUGGUUUUUCUUGUUAUUCUUUUAAAAGGUGUCCAGUGUGAGGUGCAGCUGGUGGAGUCUGGGGGAGGCUUAGUGCAGCCUGGAAAGUCCCUGAAACUCUCCUGCGCAGCCUCUGGAUUCACAUUCAAUAAUGCCUGGAUGGACUGGGUCCGCCAGGCUCCAGGGAAGGGGCCAGAGUGGGUUGCUGAAAUUGGAACCAAAACCUUUAAUUAUGAAACACGCUAUGUGGAGUCUGUGAAAGGCAGAUUCACUAUCUCAAGAGAUGAUUCCAAAAGCAGCCUCUACCUGCAAAUGAACAGCUUAAGAGCUGAAGACACCGCCAUUUAUUACUGUAUUAGACACAGUGAGGGACCUUCAGUGAGAACCCUGACACAAACCUCCCUGCAGCAGUGCUCAGGACCAGCAGGGGGCGCAGAGCGCACAUUGAGAACAGAGACACAGUAG